ACGUUACCCGCAGAAGAAGCACCGGCUAACUCCGUGCCAGCAGCCGCGGUAAUACGGAGGGUGCAAGCGUUAAUCGGAAUUACUGGGCGUAAAGCGCACGCAGGCGGUCUGUCAAGUCGGAUGUGAAAUCCCCGGGCUCAACCUGGGAACUGCAUUCGAAACUGGCAGGCUUGAGUCUUGUAGAGGGGGGUAGAAUUCCAGGUGUAGCGGUGAAAUGCGUAGAGAUCUGGAGGAAUACCGGUGGCGAAGGCGGCCCCCUGGACAAAGACUGACGCUCAGGUGCGAAAGCGUGGGG
RNAcentral lists this ribosomal RNA (295 nucleotides) under Salmonella enterica subsp. enterica serovar Virchow. Its description in RNAcentral is "partial 16S ribosomal RNA". It matches the Rfam family "Bacterial small subunit ribosomal RNA", at positions 472 to 766 of the family's 1533-position model. Lineage: Bacteria; Pseudomonadati; Pseudomonadota; Gammaproteobacteria; Enterobacterales; Enterobacteriaceae. The record is from RNAcentral. RNAcentral also lists the same sequence under 2 other names.